CGCGUGCACUGGUUCGGCCGGGCCUUUCCUUCUGUGGAACCGCAUGGCCUUCACUGGGUGUGUUGGGGAAACAGGACUUUUACUUUGAAAAAAUUAGAGUGUUCAAAGCAGGCCUUUGCUCGAAUACAUUAGCAUGGAAUAAUAGAAUAGGACGGCCUUCCUAUUUUGUUGGUUUCUAGGAGCGCCGUAAUGAUUAAUAGGGAUAGUUGGGGGCAUCAGUAUUCAAUUGUCAGAGGUGAAAUUCUUGGAUUUAUUGAAGACUAUCUACUGCGAAAGCAUUUGCCAAAGAUGGUUUCAUUAAUCAGUGAACGAAAGUUAGGGGGAUCGAAGACGAUCAGAUACCGUCGUAGUCUUAACCAUAAAACUAUGCCGACUAGGGGAUCCGGGCGAUGUUACUAUCUUGACUCGCUCGGCACCUUUCGAGAAAUCAAAGUUUUUGGGGUUCUGGGGGGAGUAUGGUCGCAAGGCUGAAACUUAAAAGAAAUUGACGGGAAGGGCACCACCAGGAGUAAACACUUGGCCUGUUUCGCCGCAGCAACUCUGCUCCGAAAAGCAGCCCGAAAGGGUGAGGUGGGUUCAGCCCGGGCACCGCCCGAAUCUAAAUGCUAGUCCCUGUUUUUGGGGGCAACACGCUCAAACUGCGGGAAAAUCCUAAAGCUUCAGCCACCAAGCCGGCGGUCGAAAGACGCCGGUGGCCAGGUUAAUUGCCUCGGGUACGG
This 719-nucleotide ribosomal RNA is filed under the name uncultured eukaryote. Its description in RNAcentral is "bacterial SSU rRNA". It matches the Rfam family "Eukaryotic small subunit ribosomal RNA", at positions 670 to 1574 of the family's 1831-position model. The record is from RNAcentral.